Molecule: ribosomal RNA, 650 nt
Filed under: uncultured marine bacterium
Lineage: Bacteria
Description: bacterial SSU rRNA
Rfam family: Bacterial small subunit ribosomal RNA
Source: RNAcentral
GUCGAACGCAGUAGCAAUACUGAGUGGCAAACGGGUGAGUAUAAUGUGGGAAUCUGCCUUUUGGUUCGGAAUAACACGGGGAAACUUGUGCUAAUACCGGAUAAGCCUUUACAGGGAAAGUUUUAAUGCCAAAAGAUGAGCCCGCACUUGAUUAGCUAGUUGGUAAGGUAAAAGCUUACCAAGGCAACGAUCAAUAGCUGUUCUUAGAGGAAGACCAGCCACAUUGGGACUGAGACACGGCCCAGACUCCUACGGGAGGCAGCAGUGGGGAAUCUUGCACAAUGGGGGAAACCCUGAUGCAGCGAUGCCGCGUGAGUGAAGAAGGCCUUUGGGUUGUAAAACUCUUUCGUCGGGGAAGAAAAUGACUGUACCCGAAUAAGAAGGUCCGGCUAACUUCGUGCCAGCAGCCGCGGUAAUACGAAGGGACCUAGCGUAGUUCGGAAUUACUGGGCUUAAAGAGCUCGUAGGUGGUUAAAAAAGUUGAUGGUGAAAUCCCAAGGCUCAACCUUGGAACUGCCAUCAAAACUUUUUAGCUAGAGUGUGAUAGAGGUAAGUGGAAUUUCUAGUGUAGAGGUGAAAUUCGUAGAUAUUAGAAAGAACACCAAAUGCGAAGGCAACUUACUGGGUCACUACUGACACUGAGGAGCGAA